This 460-nucleotide ribosomal RNA is filed under the name uncultured bacterium. RNAcentral's name for it is "partial 16S ribosomal RNA". It matches the Rfam family "Bacterial small subunit ribosomal RNA", at positions 338 to 795 of the family's 1533-position model. The record is from RNAcentral.
CCUACGGGAGGCUGCAGUGAGGAAUAUUGGUCAAUGGGCGCGAGCCUGAACCAGCCAAGUCGCGUGAAGGAUGACUGCCCUACGGGUUGUAAACUUCUUUUAUAAAGGAAUAAAGUGAGGCUCGUGUGCCUUUUUGUAUGUACUUUAUGAAUAAGCAUCGGCUAACUCCGUGCCAGCAGCCGCGGUAAUACGGAGGAUCCGAGCGUUAUCCGGAUUUAUUGGGUUUAAAGGGAGCGUAGAUGGGUUGUUAAGUCAGUUGUGAAAGGUGGAGGCUCAAACGUAAAAUUGCAAUUGAUACUGGCAGCCUUGAGUACAGUUGAGGUAGGCGGAAUUCGUGGUGUAGCGGUGAAAUGCUUAGAUAUCACGAAGAACUCCGAUUGCGAAGGCAGCAUACUAAACUGCCACUGACAUUGAUGCUCGAAAGUGUGGGUAUCAAACAGGAUUAGAUACCCUAGUAGUC